GAUGAACGCUGGCGGCGUGCCUAAUACAUGCAAGUCGAGCGAACGGACGAGAAGCUUGCUUCUCUGAUGUUAGCGGCGGACGGGUGAGUAACACGUGGAUAACCUACCUAUAAGACUGGGAUAACUUCGGGAAACCGGAGCUAAUACCGGAUAAUAUUUUGAACCGCAUGGUUCAAAAGUGAAAGACGGUCUUGCUGUCACUUAUAGAUGGAUCCGCGCUGCAUUAGCUAGUUGGUAAGGUAACGGCUUACCAAGGCAACGAGGCAUAGCCGACCUGAGAGGGGGAUCGGCCACACUGGAACGGGAACACGGUCCAGACUCCUACGGGAGGCAGCAGUAGGGAAUCUUCCGCAAUGGGCGAAAGCCUGACGGAGCAACGCCGCGUGAGUGAUGAAGGCCUUCGGAUCGUAAAACUCUGUUAUUAGGGAAGAACCGAUGUGUAAGUAACUGUGCACAUCUUGACGGUACCUAAUCAGAAAGCCACGGCUAACUACGUG
RNAcentral lists this ribosomal RNA (497 nucleotides) under uncultured bacterium. Its description in RNAcentral is "partial 16S ribosomal RNA". It matches the Rfam family "Bacterial small subunit ribosomal RNA", at positions 28 to 507 of the family's 1533-position model. The record is from RNAcentral.